GCUGGUCCUCGGUGGUGGUAUCCGGAUGCGUUCGCCGUCAGGCAAUCGGCAGCCGUGUAUUUCUACUGAUGGCCAGA
This is a non-coding RNA of Leifsonia xyli subsp. xyli str. CTCB07, 77 nucleotides long. The record is from Rfam. NCBI's taxonomy places the organism in Bacteria, Bacillati, Actinomycetota, Actinomycetes, Micrococcales, Microbacteriaceae.